CGAACGCUGGCGGCAGGCCUAAUACAUGCAAGUCGAACGGCUCUUCGGAGCAGUGGCGGACGGGUGAGUAACGCGUGGGAAUGUGCCCUUUGGUACGGAACAACACAAGGAAACUUGUGCUAAUACCGUAUGUGCCCUUCGGGGGAAAGAUUUAUCGCCAUUGGAGCAGCCCGCGUUGGAUUAGGUAGUUGGUGAGGUAAAGGCUCACCAAGCCUACGAUCCAUAGCUGGUCUGAGAGGAUGAUCAGCCACACUGGGACUGAGACACGGCCCAGACUCCUACGGGAGGCAGCAGUAGGGAAUCUUGCGCAAUGGGCGAAAGCCUGACGCAGCCAUGCCGCGUGAAUGAUGAAGGUCUUAGGAUUGUAAAAUUCUUUCACCGGGGAAGAUAAUGACGGUACCCGGAGAAGAAGCCCCGGCUAACUUCGUGCCAGCAGCCGCGGUAA
This 445-nucleotide ribosomal RNA is filed under the name uncultured bacterium. RNAcentral's name for it is "partial 16S ribosomal RNA". It matches the Rfam family "Bacterial small subunit ribosomal RNA", at positions 30 to 523 of the family's 1533-position model. The record is from RNAcentral.